UUGCAAAUCAUCCAGCAUGCUUGGGUUUAGGGUGACCCAGUGCGUUCCUGCAGUGCUUGCUUAGCAUGUUCUGAAAUGGUUUCAGGUCAUGCUCUGUCCCUUCUUCAGAGCAUGGUCAUAGACAUCUUACAUGGUU
Aotus nancymaae (Ma's night monkey) is the source of this 136-nucleotide small nucleolar RNA. The record is from Ensembl. NCBI's taxonomy places the organism in Eukaryota, Metazoa, Chordata, Mammalia, Primates, Aotidae.